Molecule: small RNA, 195 nt
Filed under: Crystallibacter crystallopoietes
Lineage: Bacteria; Bacillati; Actinomycetota; Actinomycetes; Micrococcales; Micrococcaceae
Description: Arthrobacter crystallopoietes c-di-AMP sequence
Rfam family: c-di-AMP riboswitch aptamer (ydaO/yuaA leader)
About the family: This family represents a conserved RNA structure found upstream of the ydaO and yuaA genes in Bacillus subtilis and related genes in other bacteria. The ydaO/yuaA element is thought to act as a genetic "off" switch for the ydaO and yuaA genes in its native state. It is believed that the element may be triggered during osmotic shock leading to activation of ydaO, a predicted amino acid transporter gene, and members of the yuaA-yubG operon which code for KtrA and KtrB K+ transporters.
Source: RNAcentral
CCGGUUCGCACGCCUAGCCCUGCCAGCGGACCUGUCCGUUCAAUUUCACCGGCAGGGGUGGAGGACCCAUUACCGGCGCCCUCGGCGUCUUGGGGUGAAGUGCGGCCACUUCCCGGCAGCGUCCCGCUGUUUGCCGCGCCGAGACACUCUCUCUCGAACCCGACAGCUAACUUCGCAGGCGUGUAGAGAGGAAUC